UACGUAGGGUGCGAGCGUUAAUCGGAAUUACUGGGCGUAUAGCGUGCGCAGGCGGUGAUGUAAGACAGAUGUGAAAUCCCCGGGCUCAACCUGGGAACUGCAUUUGUGACUGCAUCGCUGGAGUGCGGCAGAGGGGGAUGGAAUUCCGCGUGUAGCAGUGAAAUGCGUAGAUAUGCGGAGGAACACCGAUGGCGAAGGCAAUCCCCUGGGCCUGCACUGACGCUCAUGCACGAAAGCGUGGGGAGCAAACAGG
RNAcentral lists this ribosomal RNA (253 nucleotides) under uncultured bacterium. RNAcentral describes it as "partial 16S ribosomal RNA". It matches the Rfam family "Bacterial small subunit ribosomal RNA", at positions 524 to 776 of the family's 1533-position model. The record is from RNAcentral.